CAAAUUCUGAGUUCCUGUCCCAUGACCAAGAGGAAUGAGGAACAUGGACACCGGAGAAUGAGUAAGGCAGAGUAGAAUUUUAUUCAUCAGCGAGAGGGGACCUGAAAGCAGGUCGCCAUCUGUGAGGAUUAAAGUUAGGACCAAAUGCUGCUCAGAAAUUGUUUUAAUCUCAAAAGUAGUUGGCAAGUUUUCAGAGUUCAUUUUCAAGGCCUGGUGUAUGUGAAACAACUGAACAUUCAGAGCUAUUUCAUUUUCAAAGAUUCUCACAUGUGAGUAUUCCUCUUUCUGAAUAUAAUCCCCUUUCUAUCUCUUUAAUUUUGUUCUUCCAUCAAAACUUCUCUUUCAACACAGGCUGAGAUUAAAGUUUAUUUCUUAUGGCUUCUGAGACAUCUCUCCCUAAGAGAGCAGAAAGGCCUAUUCAUGUUAAUAUGUCCAAAUCAAACCCACUACACAGAUGUACUCUCAAACCUACAUCUUUAUUUCCUAUCUCAGCUAAUGAGAUAACAAUCUCUCCCUCUCCCAAAGUAGAGACCUUGGAUCCAUCUUUAAUUAUUUCCUAACUCUAAUUAUUAAAUCCAAUCAUACACCAAAAAAUGAUGUUCUGAAUACUCUCUCUUUCAUUUGUGCACUCCUUCUUUGUCGUAUCUCUCCUGGACUAAAAUAAUAGUUUCUUGCAGGGUGUUGAAUAGUGUCCCCUAAAAAAUCAUGCCCACCUGGAACCUCAGAAUGUGACCUUAUUUGGAAAUCGGGUGUGCAGAUGAAAUUAGUUAGGGAUCUCAAAAUGAAGUCACUGUAUUAUUAUUGUAGAUGAUUAUGUACACUAAGUUCAAGGACUGACGUCCUUAUAAAAAGAGAGGGUACACACACAGCCAACAGAGAGAAGAAGGUCAUACGAAGACACGCAGAAUUUGGACUUAUGCGGUCACAAGUCAAGGAGUGCUUGGAGCUACCGGGAGAUGGAAGAGUCAAGGCAGGAUUUUCCCUGGAAGAUUUGGAAGGAACAUAUUUCUCCUGAAACCUUGAUUCUAGCCUUCACUAAUGACAGAGAAUAAAUUUCUGUUCUUUUAAGCCACUCAGUUUGUGGUACUUUGUCUUACAGAAACCCUGGGACACUAAUAAAUUUCCUAAGUGGUAUACAUAACAUCUUCUAACAUUAUGAUUCUAUGGAAUGCUUUGAUAAUCAGCUAAAAGUUAUCGGCUGUCUCCCAGGAAAGAUGCACAAACAUACAUAUUCAACAUUUUGUGUUCAAUUUUUCAAGUUUCCAGGAUUUCCAGGGCCUCUCUACAGAUC
RNAcentral lists this long non-coding RNA (1291 nucleotides) under Homo sapiens (human). Its description in RNAcentral is "HSALNT0078257". Lineage: Eukaryota; Metazoa; Chordata; Mammalia; Primates; Hominidae. The record is from RNAcentral.